UACGGGGGGGGCAAGCGUUGUUCGGAAUUACUGGGCGUAAAGGGCGCGUAGGCGGUUUGCUAAGUUGAAUGUGAAAACUCUGGGCUUAACCCAGAGCCUGCAUUCAAUACUGGCAGGCUAGAGUUCUGGAGGGGAUAGCGGAAUUCCUGGUGUAGCGGUGAAAUGCGUAGAUAUCAGGAGGAACACCGGUGGCGAAGGCGGGUCUCUGGGCAGUAACUGACGCUGAGGAGCGAAAGCGUGGGGAGCGAACAGG
RNAcentral lists this ribosomal RNA (253 nucleotides) under uncultured bacterium. Its description in RNAcentral is "partial 16S ribosomal RNA". It matches the Rfam family "Bacterial small subunit ribosomal RNA", at positions 524 to 776 of the family's 1533-position model. The record is from RNAcentral.